UUUUUUGUGGAUACCCAACAGCUUGAUUGGAAUCUUCUAGGGUAUACAAUUUUGUUAUUUGAUAAGUCUUCUUUCUAUUUAGUGUUCAUGGCCCGUCAAAUCUCGUAUUAGAAAAAUGUCAUAUAGCACUUGGUACAAUUCUUACUUCAGCUACAACAUGCCCUUAACUCAACACCAUGAUAUUCUGCAUUUUCAUUUUCCCUACAAUCACCACUCAUCAAAAAACAUUGUGUAGGAUACACACUGUCCUCCGAAGCAAGUCACACUCCAAUUAUGGGUUUGAUGGUCUCGCUGGAUCCUAACCAUUUCUUGAUUGGCUCUAGUCUCUUGAACAAUUUUUUGAUUUCCACAAUUUAAGUGACUCUCGUUGUCUUUAUCAUGCUAAUAUGGCACUUAUCAAAUCUACUAUAUGUCAUUGAAAAUCAUUUUAGCGUAACAUUGAUAACCUAGGUCAACGUCCGGUCAUUUUGUGGAAGGAAAUUAAAUGAAUCAUAAGUAAUAAAUAUGUCCCAGUGUCUUAUCGAAAUCAAGUGUUAAAUAAAUUCUUUUUGCACUGUAAGUAAGGUAAUUCGACUGUUAGUACGUAUAUAGCUCACUUCAAAGAGUUAUUACGCAAUUGUUAUAUUUAUGAAGCUCCCCACAUUAUAGAUCGAGGUUUAUCGAUGGUUUAAAUCCUGAAAUCUUACCUGAUGAUAUUCCUGCAUUCAAAUCCUUAUAUGAUGCCUAACAACUGACCAACAUAUGGAACAUGAAAUUCCAUCUUCGUCAAGCAUGUCAUAAGCUUGAUUUAUCAUCUCAGCCACAACAAUCAUCUCUCGAAUCUAAUUGUGUUACUCUUGAAGAAAAAAAGAAAUUUUCAUUCUUGAGCCAAUCGAAUAUUAUAAUUGCAAGGAUGAGGAAUUAUCUAUAGUAUUGCCACUUGAGUAAAAAAGACCACCUAACCUCGAUUUUAUGCCUAAGUCCUUAUUGUCUAAUCCUUUGCGUGACUCUAAUAUUGACUUUGAUAUAGUUUUACCUCCACUCUAUGAUGCUUCUUGGGUUACAGUGUUGUCCAAUAUCUUCAUUCGUUCACCCACUUUUUCUUAUCAACGUAUGGUUGUUACCUACUAAUUAUCGUCAUAUUAUUUUAUCUUCAUCAUUUGUUGAUUUUUAUGCUAAGUUUUAGAGACAGAUUAUUUUCAGUCAUGAACACAAUGAGCUUGCAAUUGAUACGCUAAUUUGGGCUCGGAUACUCUUUUGGUGAUUUUUUUGACUUGUUGCAUUUUUCAUUGGCACGAUUUCCCAAAUCAUUCACUAACAUAAUCUGUUUGACUAGCCAUCGCACUUAAUGGAAGGUUUUGUUUUUAGUAUAUCAGAAUUGUUUCAUUGUCAAGGCGCACUCAAGCUACCGAUGUCGCAAUUAUUUAUUUUUUCAAGUCAGUCUACUGUCCAAGUGCAUCGUGCUCCACAUGUGGAAUCCAUGGUACAUUUUUGUGGAUGAGUUGCACAGAUUGUUGAUUAGUGAAGUCCUCAAUCGCUAUUUGGUUAAAAGGAAAGAUCCCUUGGUCUUUAAAUUCAAUCGGUGUCACAUGAUUGGUUUCGUUAUUUUAUCAUAAAAAAGAUCGUCCUUCUUGACUGAAAAGUUGCAAUCUAUCUCAUUAGAGUCGAGUUCUCUCAAGUUAGGAGAAAUGAUCUCAACCGGGGAAAAAUGAUGUAAUAUCAUAAGAGAUCGUAUUUUAAUUUAAUUUUCACUUUUCUAGUUUGAUUGUAUAUUAUUUUUCUACUUCCAUUAGAGUUAGUUCAAACCCUAUAUAAAGGGGGCUUUUGCAUUGUAACAAAACGAGCUUCAUAUAAUGAAAUAAUUGAUGUUCUCACCCCUCCCCCCAUUCUCUUCUUCCCUCUCCCUCUUCUUCUAUUCUCCAUCAUUUCUCUUCUUCUCUCUCAUUUUCCAUUCUCUUAUAAUUCUCCUAUAGCAUUCAGUGCCAAAUUAAUUCAAGUCAUGAUUUUUGUAAUAUAAAGUUAAACUACAGAGUUGUGUAAUCCUUUAAAGUGAUAGAAAUUAAAAAAACCUUCAAGAUGCGUGAAU
Molecule: long non-coding RNA, 2065 nt
Filed under: Olea europaea (common olive)
Lineage: Eukaryota; Viridiplantae; Streptophyta; Magnoliopsida; Lamiales; Oleaceae
Description: long non-coding RNA (OEUR_LNC007128)
Source: RNAcentral